This 565-nucleotide ribosomal RNA is filed under the name Streptomyces antimycoticus. Its description in RNAcentral is "bacterial SSU rRNA". It matches the Rfam family "Bacterial small subunit ribosomal RNA", at positions 93 to 671 of the family's 1533-position model. The record is from RNAcentral. Lineage: Bacteria; Bacillati; Actinomycetota; Actinomycetes; Kitasatosporales; Streptomycetaceae.
UAGUGGCGAACGGGUGAGUAACACGUGGGCAAUCUGCCCUGCACUCUGGGACAAGCCCUGGAAACGGGGUCUAAUACCGGAUAUGACACGCUCCCGCAUGGGAUGCGUGUGGAAAGCUCCGGCGGUGCAGGAUGAGCCCGCGGCCUAUCAGCUUGUUGGUGGGGUGAUGGCCUACCAAGGCGACGACGGGUAGCCGGCCUGAGAGGGCGACCGGCCACACUGGGACUGAGACACGGCCCAGACUCCUACGGGAGGCAGCAGUGGGGAAUAUUGCACAAUGGGCGAAAGCCUGAUGCAGCGACGCCGCGUGAGGGAUGACGGCCUUCGGGUUGUAAACCUCUUUCAGCAGGGAAGAAGCGAGAGUGACGGUACCUGCAGAAGAAGCGCCGGCUAACUACGUGCCAGCAGCCGCGGUAAUACGUAGGGCGCAAGCGUUGUCCGGAAUUAUUGGGCGUAAAGAGCUCGUAGGCGGCUUGUCGCGUCGGAUGUGAAAGCCCGGGGCUUAACUCCGGGUCUGCAUUCGAUACGGGCAGGCUAGAGUUCGGUAGGGGAGAUCGGAAUUCCU